Long non-coding RNA from Dermochelys coriacea (leatherback sea turtle), 2019 nucleotides. RefSeq lists it as uncharacterized. NCBI's taxonomy places the organism in Eukaryota, Metazoa, Chordata, Testudines, Dermochelyidae. The record is from RefSeq and is a predicted model, not a curated record. The transcript has 3 exons.
GGUCCCCAGUGCGUGCGCGCGGCGCCCUCUCCCCCCGCGGGGCCGCGCCGAGCCCGGGUACAGGGGGGCGCCGGGCGGGGGCUGUGUCUGUGCUGCCCGCGGGCGGGGGAAGAGACCCGAAGGCGAGGCCGGGCCUUGCUGCGGCUGGGAGCCGCGCUGGUGCCUCUGCGGCCAGAGGUGGAGCGAGGCCGGACCCACCGGGGCCAGGUGAAGCGGAGCCAAGGGGCAGUUCCGCGAUUAGGGAGCACCCCCGUUGGCCGGCCUGUGUGGGUGCAGGCAGCCCCCCCUGGCAUUCUCCAGCCCCGUGUCAGGCCAGCCCCUCCCUUCCCACCUUCUUCACCCCUGCGCGCCCAGCCGCCCUGCUUCUUAGCCAGCGGUUGGGCUCGUUCCCCCGCGCCCCGCUGCUCUUUUGCUUUCUUUGCCCUUCCCUGUUUUGGGCUCUUCGCCGUGUGGCAGCAAGGAGAGGUUACUACUCGCCUUCGGCUAACUGGCGUUCUUCCAGACGGGUUGGGCCCAGGGCUGCCGGGCCAGAGGACAGACACGCGCCCAUGGGCAAAGUGGAGUCUGCAGGCCUGCACAGAGCACCAGGCCUCCAAAAAGGGCCUAUAAGGAGGCUCAGAUGCACCCCCUCUCAGUUCCCGACUGCAAAGCAGAGCCUCCAUAGCCCAGGGCAGGAGGUAGAGCCAGGGGCACCGCAAGCCGGGGAGUGGGGAGAGACAGAGAGGGGCAAAGCCCUCUCACCUCACUCCCACCACAUUCAGUAACGUUGUGUCCCCUGGCCAGUAGUGCUACUCCAGCCUCAGCGGUAGAGUGUUGCCGAGCUGGCGGAUCUCGCCCCUGCCCAUAAAGAAAAUGCAGCAACAGAGGAGCUCAGGGUGUUAAUGGUACCACCUGGCAGGGGCAGCACUGACUCGUCAGUGGGGCUCCCCACAUGGUGCCUGGAGGGGAGAUGCCAACUUAGGAUGUGGAGCUGGCUGGGUGGAGGAGGGAUGCUGAGGAGCUGGCUGUAUAGGUGCUGGCUUCGGGGGGUGGCAGCUUGGGAACAGCAUUGCCUCCGCAAGGCCUUUUUUUUUUUUUUUUUUAACUGCACAGCCUGCAGGGGCCCAGCACAGGAGCCUGAACUCUUUCACCAUCUGCUAGUAACACCUGAGACAGAAUGGGGUGGGGCCAGGCUGACUCAAUACCAGGCAUCUGCUGGAACAAAGGGUCCAGCCUGGCUCUUUGGGGGCACCUGUGCAUAGUAGGGUGGAUGAUGCAAAAAAGUGACAAUCCCACCCACCAAUUAAACUUCAUGUUUUAGGAUUGGAUCCAGUAAGGCCCUUCCCCCAUGACCCAGCCAGCUCCUAAACAGUUGCCCUACUGCUGUCUCAACUCAGUGGUAGGGUCUCCUCCCCCCAAACCGCUCAACCCCACUCCACACCCCUAGAUACCCAGCCCCUAAACUCCACCUUCUGCCCCUCCAUAUCAGACCCCCAUUCCAGUUAUUUCAUAUAGCUGACACAAUUUGAUAAAAUAUGGGGAAACAUUAGACUAUUCAGUCACAUGAGACCUGUCAAACCAUCUACAGCACAGGCCGUAGUUCCCACUGUCUCCCGUAGAUGAAAGGAUGCCAACAUUUAGACUUUACCCUUGGUAUCCCAAGUGACAACGCUGGCUAGAGUGUACCUAUAGGGGCAAAACAUCUCAAAGAACUCAAGUUGCUGUAAGAUUACCUCUACUUCUUCAAACAUCUGUCCCUACGGGCGCUCUGCUGCCCAACCACUAACUCAACAAGGAGGUGGAUGCUGAGGAGACAAGUCCAAGAUGGUUUUGAAGGACUGUGACAUUAAAGGUAGCAUCAUCUUGGCAAGCAGGUCAUGAGUUAAGGGAGCUGAUGACAUCAGCAACAUCUAAUAUGGAUUCCCAGGGAUGGAACAAUUGAAGCUGAUGUCCAGACUUCUAGGUGUGUCCCAGACCCUCACCAAAGGCUCUUAAAGUAAGCAGUCAUGAAAUAAGAGGGAAGGUGCUCUCAAGGAUGAA